CAAAUCUUUGUGAGAGCUGUGUGCCGUUUACGGUCGCAGUGACUCCAACAUUAGCACAGGGUCGCAAGGCUCUGAUGUUUACGCUUGUUUGUUUGACAGAGUUAGUUGAGAAUUAAAUAAAGA
This 123-nucleotide unclassified non-coding RNA is filed under the name soil metagenome. RNAcentral's name for it is "partial internal transcribed spacer 1". The record is from RNAcentral.